AUUGAACGCUGGCGGCAGGCUUAACACAUGCAAGUCGAGCGGGGGAAGGUAGCUUGCUACUGGACCUAGCGGCGGACGGGUGAGUAAUGCUUAGGAAUCUGCCUAUUAGUGGGGGACAACAUCUCGAAAGGGAUGCUAAUACCGCAUACGUCCUACGGGAGAAAGCAGGGGAUCUUCGGACCUUGCGCUAAUAGAUGAGCCUAAGUCGGAUUAGCUAGUUGGUGGGGUAAAGGCCUACCAAGGCGACGAUCUGUAGCGGGUCUGAGAGGAUGAUCCGCCACUCUGGGACUGAGACACGGCCCAGACUCCUACGGGAGGCAGCAGUGGGGAAUAUUGGACAAUGGGGGGAACCCUGAUCCAGCCAUGCCGCGUGUGUGAAGAAGGCCUUAUGGUUGUAAAGCACUUUAAGCGAGGAGGAGGCUACUUUAGUUAAUACCUAGAGAUAGUGGACGUUACUCGCAGAAUAAGCACCGGCUAACUCUGUGCCAGCAGCCGCGGUAAUACAGAGGGUGCGAGCGUUAAUCGGAUUUACUGGGCGUAAAGCGUGCGUAGGCGGCUUAUUAAGUCGGAUGUGAAAUCCCCGAGCUUAACUUGGGAAUUGCAUUCGAUACUGGUGAG
Molecule: ribosomal RNA, 618 nt
Filed under: Acinetobacter baumannii OIFC083
Lineage: Bacteria; Pseudomonadati; Pseudomonadota; Gammaproteobacteria; Moraxellales; Moraxellaceae
Description: bacterial SSU rRNA
Rfam family: Bacterial small subunit ribosomal RNA
Source: RNAcentral